This 253-nucleotide ribosomal RNA is filed under the name uncultured bacterium. Its description in RNAcentral is "partial 16S ribosomal RNA". It matches the Rfam family "Bacterial small subunit ribosomal RNA", at positions 524 to 776 of the family's 1533-position model. The record is from RNAcentral.
UACGGAGGGAGCUAGCGUUGUUCGGAAUUACUGGGCGUAAAGCGCGCGUAGGCGGCUUUGUAAGUUAGAGGUGAAAGCCCGGGGCUCAACCCCGGAACUGCCUUUAAGACUGCAUCGCUUGAAUCCGGGAGAGGUGAGUGGAAUUCCGAGUGUAGAGGUGAAAUUCGUAGAUAUCGAGAGGAACACCUGCGGCGAAGGCGGGUUGCUGGGCCGACACUGACGCUGAUGCGCGAAAGCCAGGGGAGCGAACGGG